This 178-nucleotide unclassified non-coding RNA is filed under the name Salmonella enterica subsp. enterica serovar Heidelberg. Lineage: Bacteria; Pseudomonadati; Pseudomonadota; Gammaproteobacteria; Enterobacterales; Enterobacteriaceae. The record is from RNAcentral.
AUGUUUUGGCGGAUUGAGAAGACAACAAUUUUCAGCUCAGAUUCAGAGUCCGAAGGAUUUUACGCUGAGACAAGGCGGCAAACGCAGCGACGGAAGGAGCAUACAGAAGUAUGUGACUGACGCCCGCAAGAGCAGCCAACGCCGUAUCAGUGUAAAAGACACAGGACAGAGCACAAAG